Molecule: non-coding RNA, 108 nt
Organism: Psilocybe cubensis
Lineage: Eukaryota; Fungi; Basidiomycota; Agaricomycetes; Agaricales; Agrocybaceae
Source: the annotation of a RefSeq genome assembly
UGCCCCGUGGCUUAGUUGGUUACGGCGUCCGACUGUUAGACCACGUGGUCGUGAAUGUCACGUGAUGUUGUAAUCGGAAGAUCGAGAGUUCGAGUCUCUCCGGGGCAG